UUCGAUGAUACGCGAGGAACUUACCUGGGCUCAAAUGUAUGUUGACGUAUUCUGAAAGGGAUACUUCUUCGGACAAUAUACAAGGUGCUGCAUGGUUGUCGUCAGCUCGUGCCGUGAGGUGUCGGGUUAAGUCCCAUAACGAGCGCAACCCUAUCAUUAGUUGCCAUCAGGUCAAGCUGGGGACUCUAAUGAAACUGCCUACGCAAGUAGUGAGGAAGGUGGGGAUGACGUCAAAUCAGCACGGCCCUUACGUCCAGGGCUACACACGUGCUACAAUGGCCGGUACAAAGGGCAGCUACCUGGUGACAGGAUGCUAAUCUCAAAAGCCGGUCUCAGUUCGGAUCGGAGUCUGCAACCCGACUCCGUGAAGCUGGAAUCGCUAGUAAUCGUGAAUCAGAAUGUCACGGUGAAUACGUUCCCGGGCCUU
This 427-nucleotide ribosomal RNA is filed under the name uncultured Sphingobacteriales bacterium. RNAcentral's name for it is "bacterial SSU rRNA". It matches the Rfam family "Bacterial small subunit ribosomal RNA", at positions 950 to 1382 of the family's 1533-position model. Lineage: Bacteria; Pseudomonadati; Bacteroidota; Sphingobacteriia; Sphingobacteriales. The record is from RNAcentral.